GUUUGAUUUCGAAAAAAAUCAAUUUUUGGUGAAAAAUUCGAUCCGGGGGGUAUACCCGAAAAAUGAAAAAACCCAAACUUUGAUGGUCGAUAUCUCGACUUCUAUGGGAGCUAUCGGAAAAAUUCCAACGGUUUUGUCUUAGUUUCGUCAUUCUGAAUCCAACGAGACCAUCCGCAAGGUCGUAGCUCUUACGAUAGCCGAGAUAUGGCAUUUUUGAUGCCCAUUUUUGGCCUCAAAAACGGACGUCGAAAACGACUUUUUCAGGAUUUUCAAAGUGCUCUCAUUCCCUUAGUUCUGCUCGGAUCCUGUUAUAACCCGGUGUUUUCGUAAUCUAGGUGAUCCAAAUAAGACGCUGGUAUACUUAGUUUGAUUUCGAAAAAAAUCAAUUUUUGGUGAAAAAUUCGAUACGGGGGGGUAUACCCGAAAAACGACUUUUUCAGGAUUUUCAAAGUGCUCUCAUUCCCUUAGUUCUGCUCGGAUCCUGUUAUAACCCGGUGUUUUCGUAAUCUAGGUGAUCCAAAUAAGACGCUGGUAUACUUAGUUUGAUUUCGAAAAAAAUCAAUUUUUGGUGAAAAAUUCGAUACGGGGGGGUAUACCCGAAAAAUGAAAAAACCCAAACUUUGAUGGUCGAUAUCUCGGCUUCUAUGGGAGCUAUCGGGAAAAUUCCAACGGUUUUGUCUUAGUUUCGUCAUUCUGAAUCCAACGAGACCAUCCGCAAGGUCGUAGCUCUUACGAUAGCCGAGAUAUGGCAUUUUUGAUGCCCAUUUUUGGCCCAAAAAACGGACGUCGAAAACGACUUUUUGAGGAUUUUCAAAGUGCUCUCAUUCCCUUAGUUCUGCUCGGAUCCUGUUAUAACCCGGUGUUUUCGUAAUCUAGGUGAUCCAAAUAAGACGCUGGUAUACUUAGUUUGAUUUCGAAAAAAAUCAAUUUUUGGUGAAAAAUUCGAUACGGGGGGGUAUACCCGAAAAACGACUUUUUCAGGAUUUUCAAAGUGCUCUCAUUCCCUUAGUUCUGCUCGGAUCCUGUUAUAACCCGGUGUUUUCGUAAUCUAGGUGAUCCAAAUAAGACGCUGGUAUACUUAGUUUGAUUUCGAAAAAAAUCAAUUUUUGGUGAAAAAUUCGAUACGGGGGGGUAUACCCGAAAAAUGAAAAAACCCAAACUUUGAUGGUUGAUAUCUCGGCUUCUAUGGGAGCUAUCGGGAAAAUUCCAACGGUUUUGUCUUAGUUUCGUCAUUCUGAAUCCAACGAGACCAUCCGCAAGGUCGUAGCUCUUACGAUAGCCGAGAUAUGGCAUUUUUGAUGCCCAUUUUUGGCCUCAAAAACGGACGUCGAAAACGACUUUUUCAGGAUUUUCAAAGUGCUCUCAUUCCCUUAGUUCUGCUCGGAUCCUGUUAUAACCCGGUGUUUUCGUAAUCUAGGUGAUCCAAAUAAGACGCUGGUAUACUUAGUUUGAUUUCGAAAAAAAUCAAUUUUUGGUGAAAAAUUCGAUACGGGGGGGUAUACCCGAAAAACGACUUUUUCAGGAUUUUCAAAGUGCUCUCAUUCCCUUAGUUCUGCUCGGAUCCUGUUAUAACCCGGUGUUUUCGUAAUCUAGGUGAUCCAAAUAAGACGCUGGUAUACUUAGUUUGAUUUCGAAAAAAAUCAAUUUUUGGUGAAAAAUUCGAUACGGGGGGGUAUACCCGAAAAAUGAAAAAACCCAAACUUUGAUGGUCGAUAUCUCGGCUUCUAUGGGAGCUAUCGGGAAAAUUCCAACAGUUUUGUCUUAGUUUCGUCAUUCUGAAUCCAACGAGACCAUCCGCAAGGUCGUAGCUCUUACGAUAGCCGAGAUAUGGCAUUUUUGAUGCCCAUUUUUGGCCUCAAAAACGGACGUCGAAAACGACUUUUUCAGGAUUUUCAAAGUGCUCUCAUUCCCUUAGUUCUGCUCGGAUCCUGUUAUAACCCGGUGUUUUCGUAAUCUAGGUGAUCCAAAUAAGACGCUGGUAUACUUAGUUUGAUUUCGAAAAAAAUCAAUUCUUGGUGAAAAAUUCGAUACGGGGGGGUAUACCCGAAAAAUGAAAAAACCCAAACUUUGAAGGUCGAUAUCUCGGCUUCUAUGGGAGCUAUCGGGAAAAUUCCAACGGUUUUGUCUUAGUUUCGUCAUUCUGAAUCCAACGAGACCAUCCGCAAGGUCGUAGCUCUUACGAUAGCCGAGAUAUGGCAUUUUUGAUGCCCAUUUUUGGCCUCAAAAACGGACGUCGAAAACGACUUUUUCAGGAUUUUCAAAGUGCUCUCAUUCCCUUAGUUCUGCUCGGAUCCUGUUAUAACCCGGUGUUUUCGUAAUCUAGGUGAUCCAAAUAAGACGCUGGUAUACUUAGUUUGAUUUCGAAAAAAAUCAAUUUUUGGUGAAAAAUUCGAUACGGGGGGGUAUACCCGAAAAACGACUUUUUCAGGAUUUUCAAAGUGCUCUCAUUCCCUUAGUUCUGCUCGGAUCCUGUUAUAACCCGGUGUUUUCGUAAUCUAGGUGAUCCAAAUAAGACGCUGGUAUACUUAGUUUGAUUUCGAAAAAAAUCAAUUUUUGGUGAAAAAUUCGAUACGGGGGGGUAUACCCGAAAAAUGAAAAAACCCAAACUUUGAUGGUUGAUAUCUCGGCUUCUAUAGGAGCUAUCGGGAAAAUUCCAACGGUUUUGUCUUAGUUUCGUCAUUCUGAAUCCAACGAGAUC
Anthonomus grandis grandis is the source of this 2698-nucleotide long non-coding RNA. RefSeq lists it as uncharacterized. NCBI's taxonomy places the organism in Eukaryota, Metazoa, Arthropoda, Insecta, Coleoptera, Curculionidae. The transcript has 11 exons. The record is from RefSeq and is a predicted model, not a curated record.